GACGGAGGAUGCAAGCGUUAUCCGGAAUGAUUGGGCGUAAAGCGUCCGCAGGUGGCAGUUCAAGUCUGCUGUCAAAGACCGGGGCUUAACUUCGGAAAGGCAGUGGAAACUGAACAGCUAGAGUAUGGUAGGGGCAGAGGGAAUUCCUGGUGUAGCGGUGAAACGCGUAGAUAUCAGGAAGAACAUCGGUGGCGAAGGCGCUCUGCUGGACCAUAACUGACACUCAGGGACGAAAGCUAGGGGAGCGAAUGGG
Molecule: ribosomal RNA, 253 nt
Filed under: uncultured bacterium
Lineage: Bacteria
Description: partial 16S ribosomal RNA
Rfam family: Bacterial small subunit ribosomal RNA
Source: RNAcentral